GGUCAAGCGAACAAGUGCAUGUGGUGGAUGCCUUGGCGAUCACAGGCGAUGAAGGACGCGGUAGCCUGCGAAAAGCUUCGGGGAGCUGGCAAACGAGCUUUGAUCCGAAGAUGUCCGAAUGGGGAAACCCACCUCUUCUGAGGUAUCCGUGACUGAAUCCAUAGGUCACGUGAAGCGAACGCGGUGAACUGAAACAUCUAAGUAACCGCAGGAAAAGAAAUCAACCGAGAUUCCCAAAGUAGUGGCGAGCGAAAUGGGACCAGCCUGUACUCUUUAUCUUCGCUGUUAGUCGAACGCUCUGGAAAGUGCGGCCAUAGCAGGUGAUAGCCCUGUAGACGAAAACAGUGAGGAAGAACUAGGUGUACGACAAGUAGGGCGGGACACGUGAAAUCCUGUCUGAAGAUGGGGGGACCAUCCUCCAAGGCUAAAUACUCGUGAUCGACCGAUAGUGAACCAGUACCGUGAGGGAAAGGCGAAAAGAACCCCGGGAGGGGAGUGAAACAGAUCCUGAAACCGCAUGCAUACAAACAGUCGGAGCCUCGCAAGGGGUGACGGCGUACCUUUUGUAUAAUGGGUCAGCGACUUACAUUCAGUGGCAAGCUUAACCGAUUAGGGCAGGCGUAGCGAAAGCGAGUCCGAACAGGGCGUCCAGUCGCUGGGUGUAGACCCGAAACCAGGUGAUCUAUCCAUGGCCAGGAUGAAGGUGCGGUAACACGUACUGGAGGUCCGAACCCACUAACGUUGAAAAGUUAGGGGAUGAGCUGUGGAUAGGGGUGAAAGGCUAAACAAACCUGGAAAUAGCUGGUUCUCUCCGAAAACUAUUUAGGUAGUGCCUCGUGUCUCACCUUCGGGGGUAGAGCACUGUCAUGGUUGUGGGGUCCAUUGCGGAUUACUACGCCAUAGCAAACUCCGAAUACCGAAGAGUGCAAUCACGGGAGACAGACAUCGGGUGCUAACGUCCGGUGUCAAGAGGGAAACAACCCAGACCGCCAGCUAAGGUCCCCAAAUAUGGCUAAGUGGGAAACGAAGUGGGAAGGCUAAAACAGUCAGGAGGUUGGCUUAGAAGCAGCCAUCCUUUAAAGAAAGCGUAAUAGCUCACUGAUCGAGUCGUCCUGCGCGGAAGAUGUAACGGGGCUAAGCCAUAUACCGAAGCUGCGGAUGCA
RNAcentral lists this ribosomal RNA (1163 nucleotides) under Paraburkholderia phenoliruptrix. RNAcentral's name for it is "partial 23S ribosomal RNA". It matches the Rfam family "Bacterial large subunit ribosomal RNA", at positions 1 to 1210 of the family's 2925-position model. The record is from RNAcentral. Lineage: Bacteria; Pseudomonadati; Pseudomonadota; Betaproteobacteria; Burkholderiales; Burkholderiaceae.